Molecule: ribosomal RNA, 617 nt
Filed under: Thanatephorus sp. CBS 101763
Lineage: Eukaryota; Fungi; Basidiomycota; Agaricomycetes; Cantharellales; Ceratobasidiaceae
Description: eukaryotic LSU rRNA
Rfam family: 5.8S ribosomal RNA (bases 214-367)
Source: RNAcentral
GAGUUUGGGAGCUGGCCCUUAUUAUABUUUGGGCAUGUGCACACCUUCCUCUUUCAUCCCACACACACCUGUGAACCUGUGAGACAGAUGGGGAAUUUACUUGCUGCUUUUUGCAAUACAAAGGCAAUAGGUUAUUGGACCCUCUGUCUACUCAAUUAAUAUAAAAUCAAUUUAUUUUAAAACGAAUGUAAUGGAUGUAACACAUCUCAUACUAAGUUUCAACAACGGAUCUCUUGGCUCUCGCAUCGAUGAAGAACGCAGCGAAAUGCGAUAAGUAAUGUGAAUUGCAGAAUUCAGUGAAUCAUCGAAUCUUUGAACGCACCUUGCGCUCCUUGGUAUUCCUUGGAGCAUGCCUGUUUGAGUAUCAUGAAUUCUUCAAAGUAAAUCUUUUGUUAACUCAAUUGGUUUCACUUUGGUAUUGGAGGUCUUUUGCAGCUUCACGACCUGUUCCUCUUUGUGCAUUAGCUGGAUCUCAGUGUUAUGCUUGGUUCCACUCGGCGUGAUAAAUUAUCUAUCGCUGAGGACACUGUAAAAGGUGGCCAAGGUAAAUGCAGAUGAACCGCUUCCAAUAGUCCAUUGACUUGGACAACACCUUUAUGAUCUUAUGUCAACAGGAA